Molecule: ribosomal RNA, 1527 nt
Filed under: Ruehmaphelenchus sp. 2 NK-2020
Lineage: Eukaryota; Metazoa; Nematoda; Chromadorea; Rhabditida; Aphelenchoididae
Description: partial 28S ribosomal RNA
Rfam family: Eukaryotic large subunit ribosomal RNA
Source: RNAcentral
AAACGGGAUGAGCCCAGCGCUGAAGGCUUCCAUCUGUUUGGAUGGCGGCCGGUGUAGCGUAUAGAGACGGCGUUUGCGUGCAUGCGACUGGUCUAAGUUUUGCUGGAAAGCAAUAGCAUAGACGGUUUAACUCCGGUAUGGCCGGUUGCAGUGCGUAAGUGUCGGCUUUUGGAGUCGGGUUGUUUGGAAUCGCAGCCCAAAGCUGGUGGUAAACUUCACCUAAGGCUAAAUAUGACCGUGAGACCGAUAGAAAACAAGUACCGUGAGGGAAAGUUGAAAAGUACUUUGAAAAGAGAGUGCAAGAGAACGUGAAACCGGUAUAAUGGAAGCAUAUGGAGUUGACGUAUCUAGUGCGUAUUCAGUUGGCGGGCAUUUCAAUUGCCGGGUUUUGGCGUUCCGCAAGGUCGCCGGUUCGGUAUUGUUGGCGUGUUCGUCGAUGCAAUUGCGUACGGAGUGCGCCGAGUCGUGCGGUGACGUCGGUCGAGGGCGCUUAAGAGGCCAUGAUUUUCGGAUUGUGAAACCUUGGGUGUUUGAGGCCGAUUGGUGCCGCAUGUCGUUGUGGAUGCAUGGGCCUACGCUCAUCGGUGCGUUGUCUGUUCGAACUUGUUGCUGCACGCAUGCGUGCGGUGCUUGUUUGGCUGGCGGUGCGCUCGAUGUGAUCUAUGCUCUUCUCGGUGUAUAGUCAAUGACCCAUUUGACCCGUCUUGAAACACGGACCAAGGAGUUUAUGGUUUACGCGAGUCAUUGGGCUUACGAAACUCAAAGGCGCAAUGAAAGUGAGACCUUACUGGUUUGAGUGUGAUCGGUUGUUGUUUCGACGGCGGCCGAGCAACACUGCCCCGUUUCGAGGACUUGUCCUGUUGCGGAGGUUGAGCGUAAGCUAUGAGACCCGAAAGAUGGUGAACUAUGCCUGAACAGGAUGAAGCCAGAGGAAACUCUGGUGGAAGUCCGAAGCGGUUCUGACGUGCAAAUCGAUCGUCUGAUUUUGGUAUAGGGGCGCAAGACUAAUCGAACCAUCUGGUAGCUGGUUUCCUCCGAAGUUUCCCUCAGGAUAGCUGGAGCACAUUUCGCACAGAUAUACUCGGUAAAGCGAACGAUUAGAGUUCUUGGGAUGUCUUAUUCUCAAACUAUUCUCAAACUCUAAAUGGUUAUGAUGUUGGUGUUGCUUAAUUUGAACACUGGCUUGGAUUGUUGUGCUCCAAGUGGGCCAUUUUUGGUAAGCAGAACUGGCGAUGUGGGAUGAACCAAACGCGAAGUUACGGUGCCAAACUAUUCGCUCAUGAGACCCCAUGAAAGGUGUUGGUUGAUAUUGACAGCAGGACGGUGGCCAUGGAAGUCGGAAUCCGCUAAGGAGUGUGUAACAACUCACCUGCCGAAUCAACUAGCCCUGAAAAUGGAUGGCGCUCGAGCGAGUGACCUAUACUUUGCCGUCGUUGGGAAUUUCAACAAAAUCCCUCGACGAGUAGGAGGUACGUUGCGAUGGCGUUGAAUGUGCGGAGCGUGAGCUCGACUGGAGCCGUCGUGAGU